This 476-nucleotide ribosomal RNA is filed under the name uncultured bacterium. RNAcentral's name for it is "bacterial SSU rRNA". It matches the Rfam family "Bacterial small subunit ribosomal RNA", at positions 8 to 507 of the family's 1533-position model. The record is from RNAcentral.
AGAGUUUGAUCAUGGCUCAGGAUGAACGCUGGCGGCGUGCCUAACACAUGCAAGUCGUACGAGCUCGAUCUUCGGAACGGGUUAGUGGCGCACGGGUGAGUAACACGUAGGUGACCUACCCCAGAGUGGGGGAUAACUUCUCGAAAGAGAGGCUAAUACCGCAUACACUCGGUCAUUCAUUUGGCCGAGCAAAGCUCUGGCGCUUUGGGACGGGCCUGCGUCCGAUUAGCUAGUUGGUAGGGUAAUGGCUUACCAAGGCUUUGAUCGGUAGCUGGUCUGAGAGGACGAUCAGCCACACUGGCACUGACACACGGGCCAGACUCCUACGGGAGGCAGCAGUGAGGAAUAUUGGGCAAUGGGCGAAAGCCUGACCCAGCAACGCCGCGUGAGGGAUGAAGGCCUUCGGGUUGUAAACCUCUUUUCUGGGAGAAGAGACAAGGACGGUAUCCCAGGAAUAAGUCUCGGCUAACUACGUG